RNAcentral lists this ribosomal RNA (425 nucleotides) under uncultured bacterium. RNAcentral describes it as "bacterial SSU rRNA". It matches the Rfam family "Bacterial small subunit ribosomal RNA", at positions 355 to 775 of the family's 1533-position model. The record is from RNAcentral.
UCGAGAAUCUUCGGCAAUGGGCGCAAGCCUGACCGAGCGACGCCGCGUGUGGGAUGAAGGCCUUCGGGUUGUAAACCACUGUCAGAGGGGAGGAAAUAUAUGUGGGUACUCCCAUGUAUUUGACCUAUCCUCAGAGGAAGUACGGGCUAAGUUCGUGCCAGCAGCCGCGGUAAGACGAACCGUACGAACGUUAUUCGGAAUUACUGGGCUUAAAGGGUGCGUAGGCGGCGCAGUAAGUUGGGUGUGAAAUCCCUCGGCUUAACCGAGGAAUUGCGCCCAAAACUACUGUGCUCGAGGGAGGUAGAGGUGAGCGGAACUUAGGGUGGAGCGGUGAAAUGCGUUGAUAUCCUAAGGAACACCGGUGGCGAAAGCGGCUCACUGGACCUCUUCUGACGCUGAGGCACGAAAGCUAGGGUAGCAAACGG